This 347-nucleotide ribosomal RNA is filed under the name uncultured bacterium. Its description in RNAcentral is "partial 16S ribosomal RNA". It matches the Rfam family "Bacterial small subunit ribosomal RNA", at positions 338 to 682 of the family's 1533-position model. The record is from RNAcentral.
CCUACGGGGGGCAGCAGUGAGGAAUAUUGGUCAAUGGACGAGAGUCUGAACCAGCCAAGUAGCGUGAAGGAUGACGGCCCUAUGGGUUGUAAACUUCUGUUAUAGGGGAAUAAAAUGUUCCACGUGUGGGAUUUUGUAUGUACCAUAUGAAUAAGGAUCGGCUAACUCCGUGCCAGCAGCCGCGGUAAUACGGAGGAUCCGAGCGUUAUCCGGAUUUAUUGGGUUUAAAGGGAGCGUAGGGGGAUUGUUAAGUCCGUUGUGAAAGUUUGCGGCUCAACCGUAAAAUUGCCUUUUAAACUGGCAGUCUUGCGUUCCGUUGCGGUUGGCGGCAUUCGUUGUGUAGCCGU